Molecule: transfer RNA, 73 nt
Filed under: Ictidomys tridecemlineatus (thirteen-lined ground squirrel)
Lineage: Eukaryota; Metazoa; Chordata; Mammalia; Rodentia; Sciuridae
Description: Spermophilus tridecemlineatus (thirteen-lined ground squirrel) tRNA
Rfam family: tRNA
About the family: Transfer RNA (tRNA) molecules are approximately 80 nucleotides in length. Their secondary structure includes four short double-helical elements and three loops (D, anti-codon, and T loops). Further hydrogen bonds mediate the characteristic L-shaped molecular structure. tRNAs have two regions of fundamental functional importance: the anti-codon, which is responsible for specific mRNA codon recognition, and the 3' end, to which the tRNAs corresponding amino acid is attached (by aminoacyl-tRNA synthetases). tRNAs cope with the degeneracy of the genetic code in two manners: having more than one tRNA (with a specific anti-codon) for a particular amino acid; and 'wobble' base-pairing, i.e. permitting non-standard base-pairing at the 3rd anti-codon position.
Source: Rfam by way of RNAcentral
GGGAGUAUAGCUCAAUGGUAGAGUGCUUGCCUCGUAAUGCAUAAAGGCCUGGUUUUGAUUCCCAGCACUGCCU